GGACAGGUACCGAAGCGGUCAACCGGGCUGGACUGUAAAUCCAGUGGCUUUCGCCUUCGGAGGUUCGAAUCCUCCCCUGUCCACCA
RNAcentral lists this transfer RNA (86 nucleotides) under Bacteroidota bacterium. RNAcentral describes it as "Bacteroidetes bacterium tRNA-Tyr". It matches the Rfam family "tRNA". Rfam says of the family: Transfer RNA (tRNA) molecules are approximately 80 nucleotides in length. Their secondary structure includes four short double-helical elements and three loops (D, anti-codon, and T loops). Further hydrogen bonds mediate the characteristic L-shaped molecular structure. tRNAs have two regions of fundamental functional importance: the anti-codon, which is responsible for specific mRNA codon recognition, and the 3' end, to which the tRNAs corresponding amino acid is attached (by aminoacyl-tRNA synthetases). tRNAs cope with the degeneracy of the genetic code in two manners: having more than one tRNA (with a specific anti-codon) for a particular amino acid; and 'wobble' base-pairing, i.e. permitting non-standard base-pairing at the 3rd anti-codon position. The record is from RNAcentral. RNAcentral also lists the same sequence under 1 other name. Lineage: Bacteria; Pseudomonadati; Bacteroidota.